This 146-nucleotide unclassified non-coding RNA is filed under the name soil metagenome. Its description in RNAcentral is "partial internal transcribed spacer 1". The record is from RNAcentral.
CCGAGUUUACAACUCCCAAACCCCUGUGAACAUACCACUUGUUGCCUCGGCGGAUCGGCCCGCUCCGGUAAAACGGGACGGCCCGCCAGAGGACCCCUAAACUCUGUUUCUAUAUGUAACUUCUGAGUAAAACCAUAAAUAAAUCA